This is a long non-coding RNA of Drosophila miranda, 2030 nucleotides long. RefSeq lists it as uncharacterized. The transcript is spliced from 3 exons. Lineage: Eukaryota; Metazoa; Arthropoda; Insecta; Diptera; Drosophilidae. The record is from RefSeq and is a predicted model, not a curated record.
GAUUGAGCCCUGUCUGUCUGUCCUUCCGUUUUCUCCAAUUUUUUAAUAGGUUAGGUUAGGUAAUAAUAAUAAUAUCAACUUCCAGUCUAUAUAUGUAUAUAAUGACGUUUAUUUUAGCCAAAGAAUAUUAAAACACAAGAACGUGUCAAUACGAGUCAGGAUUGACUGUGUAAGAAAGAAAAUCACUAAGUUACUCUCUAAAACUAGGUGUAACAUGCAGUUAUGAAAAAAAAAAACAAGCUUAGCUCUGAAAAAACCAUAAAAAUAAGAAUACAACAAAUCUUAAAAAAAGCAUCUGCGACGUCAUAAGCCAAUACUUACAUAACAAAAUGACUGUCGUGAAUUUUCAGAUGUACUUAAUAAUAUUUAUGAUAAUAUUCGGAUAAUCACAGCAUAGGACGGAGGAUCAAAAAAGUUAGUGAGAAUAACGCUGUUGGAUGGCCGAAAUGGAUGGCAAGGAAGACAAUUACAAGUAAUCGAUGAUCGGCAGCGUUACAAUACAACUCCAAAAUAAAUGCACAACGUGUAUGUAUAUGUGCAUACAUAUGAAGUAAAUAUACAUACACACAAAAAUGUGUUCCUUUUUUACCUUUAGAUCGCCCUUUUCUAACACCUUUUCGGCUCGAAUCCAAGACACAGGGCUGCCGCUGUGUUGUCGGCAACUAAAAAGCGAACAAAUGAGCGCCGAACGAUUAUUUAAGGCCAAUAUCUCUAAUUACGGUUCUGACACAUAACAAUGCAGUUUCAUUUUUAAAUUUAUGGGUUUCAUUAUUUAAUGUAAACUGAAACUUAAGGCAUUUUUCCGCUUUGUACGACAGGUGGUCUAGACUAACGUUAACAUAUACACACUCGUAACCACGAAGGUUUGUGUAAAUUUCAGUUCAUUUUUGAUUUGCACUAAUUAAUUAAAUUUAUUAUAAAUAUACUAUAAAUAAAUUAUUAUAUAAUUUUAUAAAUAUUACAGACCAAUUUCAGCGAUCCUUAUUAAAUAAAUUUAUACAUCUUCAUGAUCAGUCUGAACAGGCUAAUCAAAAUAGCCAUAUUCGUUUUGUUUGCAUGCAAAAUAGUAACUUUAUUUUCAGGCUAUUUAAACUAAUAGGAUAAUCUUCCAUUAGAUCAGAUUGUAUUUAUAUUUUAUUUGGGUUUGGAAAACUUUAGUUUCUCAGGAUAAUUAUAGUAAAAGCUAGAAAUUGCUGUUGUUUUUUUUUGAUACAUACUCGUACAUAUGUAUGUAUGUAUGUAUGAUUGAUCUUUAUACAUACAUAUUUUUAUGUCUGUAAUUCUUAGCACCAAAGAAAAAUCAGCCUGACGACACACCGAAUUUAAUUUUAGUUUUGAAAAUCUUUACAGAAUUAUUCUUGUCAGUAACGCUUAAAUAUUGAUAUCCCCGUUCAGGUUUGGUUUUUCAUGAUUUUCUGUUUACUUUUAUUGGUUUCCGUUGUGGUUGUAUCAAACAAUAGAUAAUUGUAACAACUGUUAACCGUACACCGAAACAAAUUGCGUUAAAGCGUGAAUUUCUGUUUGUCGGAAGUCCUGAUUAUUUCGCAUUUACAGGCAAAUGUCAAACCUACUGGGUGGGAAUUGAGUACAAAAUAACAAAAACGCUGCGAAUACAUAAUGAUUUAUUAUUCCGGGUUAAAUACCUUGACCAUCCCCCCUGUUAACAAAUUCUUCUUAAUGCGUUGUAAUUGCAUAGCAUGAAAUUUGUUGUGAUUGUGUCUGUGAUUACAUUAUAUACAUAAUUGAGCAAACCUCAGCGGCAAUAAUUUUAUUAAAAAUUGUAUUCUUUGGGAAAUAAGAAUUUAUGUUUACCAUUUGUUAUGCCUUCCAAUUCGAUAUGCAUAUUCAAAGUGCUGUAAAUGAUUCUUAAAUAAAUUUAAAUGAGAUUCACGGUUAAAUGGAAUAGCGUGUAAGUAAAAAAUGUCCUGCAACCGGAACUAAUUUGAAUAUACAUUUGGUAGAUUGUAGAUACAUAAAUAUGUACAUAUAUAGUAUAGUUUACUAUAUGUUAGAAAGUAAAAGAUAAAGUA